UACGUAGGGUGCGAGCGUUAAUCGGAAUUACUGGGCGUAAAGCGUGCGCAGGCGGUUCGUUAAGUCAGAUGUUAAAGCCCCGGGCUCAACCUGGGAACUGCAUUUGAAACUGGCGGGCUUGAGUAUGGCAGAGGGGGGUGGAAUUCCGCGUGUAGCAGUGAAAUGCGUAGAGAUGCGGAGGAACACCGAUGGCGAAGGCAGCCCCCUGGGCCAAUACUGACGCUCAGGCACGAAAGCGUGGGGAGCAAACAGG
Molecule: ribosomal RNA, 253 nt
Filed under: uncultured bacterium
Lineage: Bacteria
Description: partial 16S ribosomal RNA
Rfam family: Bacterial small subunit ribosomal RNA
Source: RNAcentral